AGCCUGAACGCUGGCGGCGUGGCUAAGACAUGCAAGUCGUACGGGCAUAGCAAUAUGUCAGUGGCGCACGGGUGAGUAAUGUAUAGCUAAUCUACCCUGGAUUCUGGGAUAGCUGACCGAAAGGUCAGGUAAUACCAGAUGAUAUAACUCCUGUCGCAUGGCUAGGGUUCUCAAAGGGCUAACCGUUCGUGGGAUGAGGCUUAUAUUGUAUCAGCGUAGUUGGUAGGUAA
RNAcentral lists this ribosomal RNA (230 nucleotides) under uncultured soil bacterium. Its description in RNAcentral is "partial 16S ribosomal RNA". It matches the Rfam family "Bacterial small subunit ribosomal RNA", at positions 26 to 260 of the family's 1533-position model. The record is from RNAcentral.